Molecule: ribosomal RNA, 798 nt
Filed under: Leuconostoc mesenteroides
Lineage: Bacteria; Bacillati; Bacillota; Bacilli; Lactobacillales; Lactobacillaceae
Description: bacterial SSU rRNA
Rfam family: Bacterial small subunit ribosomal RNA
Source: RNAcentral
UAACUGGCGGCGUGCCUAUACUGCAAGUCGAACGCACAGCGAAAGGUGCUUGCACCUUUCAAGUGAGUGGCGAACGGGUGAGUAACACGUGGACAACCUGCCUCAAGGCUGGGGAUAACAUUUGGAAACAGAUGCUAAUACCGAAUAAAACUUAGUGUCGCAUGACACAAAGUUAAAAGGCGCUUCGGCGUCACCUAGAGAUGGAUCCGCGGUGCAUUAGUUAGUUGGUGGGGUAAAGGCCUACCAAGACAAUGAUGCAUAGCCGAGUUGAGAGACUGAUCGGCCACAUUGGGACUGAGACACGGCCCAAACUCCUACGGGAGGCUGCAGUAGGGAAUCUUCCACAAUGGGCGAAAGCCUGAUGGAGCAACGCCGCGUGUGUGAUGAAGGCUUUCGGGUCGUAAAGCACUGUUGUAUGGGAAGAACAGCUAGAAUAGGAAAUGAUUUUAGUUUGACGGUACCAUACCAGAAAGGGACGGCUAAAUACGUGCCAGCAGCCGCGGUAAUACGUAUGUCCCGAGCGUUAUCCGGAUUUAUUGGGCGUAAAGCGAGCGCAGACGGUUUAUUAAGUCUGAUGUGAAAGCCCGGAGCUCAACUCCGGAAUGGCAUUGGAAACUGGUUAACUUGAGUGCAGUAAAGGUAAGUGGAACUCCAUGUGUAGCGGUGGAAUGCGUAAAUAUAUGGAAAAACACCAGUGGCGAAGGCGGCUUACUGGACUGCAACUGACGUUGAGGCUCGAAAGUGGGGGUAGCAAACAGGAUUAAAUACCCUGGUAGUCCCCCCCGUAAACGAUGAANC